RNAcentral lists this long non-coding RNA (2095 nucleotides) under Lupinus angustifolius (narrow-leaved blue lupine). RNAcentral describes it as "long non-coding RNA (LANG_LNC001723)". Lineage: Eukaryota; Viridiplantae; Streptophyta; Magnoliopsida; Fabales; Fabaceae. The record is from RNAcentral.
GUAAUUCAAAUAUUAUACGUUUUCAACAUUUAUAUCACUAAUAUAAACACUAUUUAUUUACGUACAAUAGUUUAAUAAUCAGUACUAUACAUGUUAGGAAAGAGACUCAAGGUUCAAAUGUUCUAUCCAACUACUAUUGUUUUGUUAAUAUAUAAUUAAAAAAAAGUCUUUGAUCAACAAAUACAAUUUCUUUUUUUUUGUACUAGCAAUAAUAUUUCUCAUCUUUUUGGGUAAGAAUUAAUCUCUUUCGGGGUUCAUGAUUGUCGCUCCCAACAAGUGUCAUUUCCAGGAAUCGAAUCCUCGAUCCUAGGAGAUUCAGUGAGAUCUUACACCACUAAAUCAAUGCCUUAUUAAUAAAUAUGAUGAUUUCUUUAAGAAAACAAAAAAAAAAAUUAAGGAAAAAAUCAUGGUUCUCAAAUUACGAAAAAUAAAUAAAUAAAUAAGAAACAACAAAAUCAAGCAAAACUAUGUUUACCAACCAUAAUUUUAUAAAAAACAUAAAAAUAACUAAAUCGUACUCAAAACAACGAUUUCAUAAUAUAAAAAAUUCAAACACGGAAAGUUGUGGGGCAUAAUUAUGAUUUUGGUAAUGGAGAAAAAUACAAAAAUGGUUAAUCAUUAUUGUUAAGCACUGUAUAAUAUACAUUUAUGUACUAUCUAUAUCUAUAUUAUAUAAAGGUAAACUUAUCUAUACUAAUAGAUAAAGGAAAAAUAUGAUGUAAGUAUCAUUAAAGUGAAAUUUCAUUUUCCUAUGUUGCUCUUAAACCUUUUAAUUUCUACGGAAAAGUUAUAUAAUCAUAUGUAAUCACUAUUAACAUAUUGAUCAUAUCUCUCACUUUAAGUUGAACAUUAUAAUAAAACAUAAAGUUAUAAUAUAAAGUAUCCCCAAUAAAAAAUACAUUAUAAAAUAUACUAAAUAUAAAAAGAUAUUAUAAUUUUCCAAAAUAAAAUAUAUAAAACUUGAAUAUUUGAUAUCAUUAAUAUAUGAAUAUGGGCUGGCAUACCACUAAUUACUAUAAAAUAACAAAUAAAAAAAUAAGGAAUAAGAAUCGUGAAUGGUAGAUAUAACUUGCUUACAUAAAACUAAAGUCCUGAAUAUCAGAAUAGUGGCUACCCUUCACAGGCUAUUAGAAGUGCAUUACUUUGAUAGUGUCUCAAAAAAUUACCCCAGAGAGAUAAUGAUAGUGUGAAAAUAUUUGAAUGACAAAUUGUUUUGGCAAGAACAAUACAUGAGUAUUAUAUUAUAUUUAUACUCCAAAGUAAAUUAUAAUGACAUGAGUUUUAGUGAAAUUAUACAAAUCAUCUUUUUUUAAAACUUGUAUAAAUCAUCCCUAAUUAUAUAUAUAUAUAUAUAUAUAUAUAUAAGAUAUAAGUAAUUUCUUAAACAAAAAACAGUGAUGAAUGUAAUUAAGUUAAACAAAAUAUUAUAUAUUGUGAUAAUGUCAGAUGAUAUAAAAUUCAUUAGUUAUUAUUUUGAUUAGUUAAAAUAUAAUAUAAGAGUGAUUUAAACUAGUGUUGAAAAACUAGUUAGUACCAUCCGAUUUAACUCGUAUAUUUAUUAUAUAAAUAUGGUACAUCAACUCUUAGACUACUAAUAAAUUUAUUAUAUAAAAUAACUUUAAUAGAUUCCAGCAGCAAAACAAUCACAAUAGCUACAAGGAAAUGAACUAGAAAUAUAUACAAACUGCAUAUCAUAUAGAUGAGAUACCAAAACAAAUAUGAAAAUUACUUACAGUUUCAAACAUUCAGUGUUCUUACAGUUGCACCGCUUACAUCCAUUCUCAUAAUUGGUGGUUGAUGUUUUCUUCCUAAAAAGCAUUUUAAAUACGAGUAGAAAGUAUUAAAUACGAGUAAACAUUAAAUUAAUAAUUAAUGCACUUUAAAGUUCAAAAUAGGAAGUAACAUAUUCUUCAAAAUAUGGAGAUAAAUAGGAAAUGAAAUGAUAAUAUAAAUCAUACCAUGGUUUCCGAAGCAUAUUGAAGAAAAAAAUCUCCCCAAACACUAGAAGGGAAAUUGGCUCGUGGUCGUGUGAUUGGUGACACCAAAGAUGGAAGAGACAUCAUUUUCUUCUAGAAAUCCUAAAAAGAAAGGGUAG